UUCUUAAACAAUAGGCCGAGGUCAACGAAAUUAAAUAGGCCUCUCCCUACAUUUGCGCGUGAAGAGAGAAGAGCUCAUCAUUAGAAUCUGGUAGUGUCGCUCCGUCCGUCUCGUAGAUGUGGACUAGUUUCUCUUGGGCCCCAUGGCGUACAAGCACAAUAGGGCGUCAGUGCGACAUUAUAGAGGGUGACAAUUCCGUCGUUGAACCCAAUGAGCAAGUCCGUUACGAUGGCUAUGUCAGAGAGUCGAGCAGUUUGGGAUCUGCCGUUUCACAUGGGAGGUAGAUUCCUCCUAAAGCUAAAUACAGGGGAGAGACCGAUAGAGAACAAGUACCGCAAGGGAAAGAUGAAAUAGAACUCUGUGAAGGGAGUCAAAAGGCGUGAAAUUGUUGCGAGAGAAGCGAUUCAAGUCAGCGUAGCUAGGCCCAUCAAGCGUUCUUCGCUUUGGACUAGCUUUGCCAGCGGUCUUGUCCUUUAGAGGCUUGACUUUUGUUAUACGUGUCCAGCCUGGUAUGUACAGGUAGCCCCUCUUGGGGGGCCAGUGGCAUGGCUGGUGGAAUGGCUUGCAAUCGACCCGUCUUGAAACACGGACCAAGGAGUCUAACAUGUAUGCGAGUAUAAGGGUGGCAAACCCGUAUGCGCAAUGAAAGUGAUUUUCGUCGAUUGAGAAUGGCCUGACGACCAGACAAGCAAUACAUGUCCCUCGGACGGCCAUUGCCCAAGUUCCGUGGUAGAUCCCACGAACAAGGAGUUGGAGCCUACAUGCUAGGACCCGACAGAUGGUGAACUAAGCCUGUACAUCGUGAAGCCAAUCGAAACUGUCGUAGACGCUCGUAGCGAUUCUGAUCGUGCGAUAUCUCUCGUCUUAUCCGAUGAUACAAGUGACGCGGAGAAUUUUCCCUCCCCC
This 906-nucleotide ribosomal RNA is filed under the name Cantharellus subamethysteus. RNAcentral describes it as "partial large subunit ribosomal RNA". It matches the Rfam family "Eukaryotic large subunit ribosomal RNA", at positions 35 to 907 of the family's 3401-position model. Lineage: Eukaryota; Fungi; Basidiomycota; Agaricomycetes; Cantharellales; Hydnaceae. The record is from RNAcentral.